AGUGAAAUACCUUAUUAGAGGGUUACAGUGAUAGUGUAAACGUGUUUCCAACUUUCACUU
This 60-nucleotide transfer RNA is filed under the name Echinogammarus berilloni. RNAcentral describes it as "tRNA-Ile". Lineage: Eukaryota; Metazoa; Arthropoda; Malacostraca; Amphipoda; Gammaridae. The record is from RNAcentral.